This 496-nucleotide ribosomal RNA is filed under the name uncultured bacterium. RNAcentral's name for it is "partial 16S ribosomal RNA". It matches the Rfam family "Bacterial small subunit ribosomal RNA", at positions 899 to 1397 of the family's 1533-position model. The record is from RNAcentral.
ACUCAAAUGAAUUGACGGGGGCCCGCACAAGCGGUGGAGCAUGUGGUUUAAUUCGACGCAACGCGAAGAACCUUACCGAGGCUUGACAUCCCUUGACCGGCUUAGAAAUAGGUCUUUCCUCGCAAGAGGACAAGGUGACAGGUGCUGCAUGGCUGUCGUCAGCUCGUGCCGUGAGGUGUUGGGUUAAGUCCCGCAACGAGCGCAACCCUCGUCGUGUGUUGGUCCAUCCGGAUCUCUCACGCGAGACCGCCGGUGAGAAGCCGGAGGAAGGUGGGGAUGACGUCAAGUCAGCAUGGCCCUUACGUCUCGGGCUACACACGUGCUACAAUGGGUGGGACAACGAGUUCCGAACUCGCAAGGGCAAGGCAAUCUCUUAAACCCAUCCUCAGUUCGGAUUGAAGGCUGCAACUCGCCUUCAUGAAGUCGGAAUCGCUAGUAAACGCAGAUCAGCUACGCUGCGUUGAAUACGUUCCCGGGCCUUGUACACACCGCCCGU